Oryzias latipes (Japanese medaka) is the source of this 3127-nucleotide long non-coding RNA. RefSeq lists it as uncharacterized. Lineage: Eukaryota; Metazoa; Chordata; Actinopteri; Beloniformes; Adrianichthyidae. The record is from RefSeq and is a predicted model, not a curated record.
GCAUUGAUGUGAGGAUACAGACUUUGAUAACAUUAAUUCAAAGUUGUUUAUUUAAUGUCAUGCCCUUUUCAUCUAAACAGUAACAACCUAUAUAUUCCACAACUCAGAGUUUAAAUAAUGACACAUAAGUAUGAUAUGAUCAACCCUCUAGCUCUGAAUGUAAUUGUGUUUUUGAUGCUUGUAGCCUUUUGAGCCUGAUGACAGUAAUUAAAAAGAAAGCAAGGACCUCAUUAACUAAAUUAUCUUAUUGCUGGGAAGCCACUGGGUUAAAAGCCUUCCCUGAAUGAGCUGAUAUUCUUCAUCAUGAUGUUCUGUAGUUUACUGGAACCACUGUAAGAAUCCUCUGAAUCCUUCUUUUUACAUUGUAUUUUUUUUGUUUUUAGUUAUUGGCUCUAAAUAUUUACACAGUAAGCUGGUUCAUUGUUAAUUUAAGGUAAUGUGUGUUUCAUGCUUUUUGUCGAUGUUAUUUUUUCUUUCAAGUUUACUGAUAAAAAGACACUUAAACUGGCCAUAAAUCUAUCCCAGCCCCCCAUGAUCUGGAUUCAUUUUGAUGAUGGAUGAGAGUAGAAAAGACUCGGGAGGGAAGUUGGAAGUUGAAUCUGUCUAUUAUUUGGAUCUCUGUGUCGUGGCUGGUUUCUGGCAUGGUCAGUUGUUACUCCCGUCUACAGCAAGAGCCGAGCCAGAAUCCUGGAAUGGGGAGUAAGAGUGUUGACAUGACAGCUUGAUGCCAUCUGGGCACUUGGAUUGACAAAAUGAUGGAGAUAACUCUCUGUGCAGUUCAGAUGGACAGAAAAAUGUCCCCAGCUCCUGCUGUGGUGGCGGCACCAAACCCCAGAAUUGGAGAUGCAUGGGUCCAAGCUCAAUUUUCAGAAAAAUGUUUUUUUUUAUUUUUUUGUUUUUAUUUCUUUUUUGAAAGAGGAUUCUAGUGAUUGGAUUCACAUUCACAGAGUAUACUGGCUUUUGGCCAUAAACUCAUUCUGGUAUAAAUUAGCUUUUGCUUCCUGCCAUCCAGGUCCAGUAGAACCACCUGCCAAGUGUCAAAUGCUGGGGGGGGAAAAGUAAAUGUUGACUAAAAAAACUAUAUUCUUGAUAAAGGCCUGAGAUCAUGAUUGUGAGGGAAAAUGAAUGCUUGAAUGUAUCUGAUUGAUCUUAUUAUUUAUUAUAUAUUUCUAUCAAGAGCUAUGUAUCUCCAAGGUAAUGUUUCUACAUUUGGAAUGCAUGCACUAUUUUUUUUAAGUUGUUUAAAAGAAAACAAUAAAAAAAAAACGUUUAUUACUGUUAAUUGCAGUGUCAUUUUUUUCCAAUAUUUAAAGUUUUUACACUGGUAAUUUAAAAAAAAUUGAGGAUACAUGCAGAGAACAUUCAAACACCACAGACAAAAGGCCCCUGCAGGAAUUUGAACCGAGGAUUUCUUGUUUUGAGUAUGGGAAUCUAGCAGGCCAUAAAGAUCAAGUGAUAAAUGACAUGACAUUUUUUGCCUUACGCAUGACACAGAAGACUAUGGCAAGGAAGCUGGGAUAAAGAUCAGAGGGGCCAGAGGGAUCCACAAAGUGCCAGCAUGACCAGAAUUUGAUACUGAAUCUUGAGCUACUGCACAAUAGAGGAAAUAUAGGGGGCUUAGGGACCUGACAGAGACAUAAUUCAAUAUAGCCGGAGGAAAAGAUGGAAGAGCUGUUGCUCCCACAGAGUAUACCCACAACAGUUCCUCCCAUUUCCGAAAACCAGAUGGAUCUGCAGUGGAGGAAAAUCUGGAGCGCUGGUGAUGAAGGAAAACUAAGUGGCUUUUCUGGCAGGUUUUAUCAACAGUCUGUGUGGAUAAUAGCAAAAUGCCCAAGAGAUGAAAUGUGCAUUGCUUGCAUGGAAAGGUGCCCGCUGAUGCAAAUGCAUCAACUUAUCACAUUUUCUGAAAACUUUACCAAAGUUUAAAAGUUGUGAAGGUGAUUGACUUUUCUAGGAAAUAGAAAAAGGCAUGAUGGCAUGAUUGGACUUACUUUCCAUCCAUGCAUUAUCUCUGCCAGCCUUGUUUUCAUUUAAAGUGUCGUAAGAGACCAACAAAGACUUCUGUGUGGUUCCCCUGAUGAGAGGGAUCAAAAAAAAGAAUGGGGCACCGGUCAAUCUUUCCCUAAAUGGUACAUUAAACUCUUUCAAAGUUUAGAGGCUCCUAAAGUACAGCCAUGACUUUUCAGCUGUGCUCUAAUUACAUUCAUGUCCUGGGGUCACAAAACAACCCGUCAUCUUUUGUGCACUCACCACUGGGAUAUUGUCCCAGCCGCCUGUCACCUGUGAUCUUGGCUGCCCCAUUUGAUCCCCUCCUAUUGAUACCCCUGUUUAGCAAUGCCACGCUUCUUUCUGUUGAGGCAUCUGACUUCUUUCACAUGUCAUCUGUGUUGGCUGAACUCUCCUCCUUUACCUUACUGGGUGGGUGUCAGCAAAGAAUGUUGAAUGAGUUGAGUGGUGAUCAGCAGCCAACCUCAUGUCUGGCCCCAUCAUCUCAGCGUGGGCAUCUAUGAAGGCAGCCGGUGUCUCUCAUGGCCAGUAGGGUUUGGAAAAUCUGGGCUUGGACAUUUGCCCAGCCAAAGGCUUCCUGCCCCUGAAACAUUUCAAGUUACCCCCUUUUUUAAUCUAAAAGCCCAUAUGAGGUAGUAAUGUAAAUGCCGGAAACUUCCAAAGAAUGAAUUUGUGCAGUAAAGUUGACUAGAACGCAAAUAAACUACACUUUAAGUUAGAUUUUUUGUCACAUGGUCAGGAAAAAUACUUUCCAUUAUCAUCCAUUUGCUUUCAAUGCAGUUUUUCCGCACCAUUAUUACUCAAAAUACUAGCAAAGUCAUAGUUCAUGUCACAGAGAGUUAUGCUUUUAAUUAGAAACAUCCCACAAAGUCAGUGGUAAAUCCCAGUUUUAUCUGACGAUGUUGCUCUUAACAGAAAGCUCUUUCUACGAUUCUUUUCAUCUCAGAACUCUAGAAUUCAUGAAGCUGACAGAAAUUUGACAAUAUAAGGAAGAAGCCAUCACUGUUAGUGUUUGGUGAAAAGGUCCAAGAAAAAAAAAACUUGUUUCUUAACCUUUUAACAAAUUAAUAAAGAUUAGAUGGUUUGCACACAUCAUAGUAACCCAAAAGAUUUCAAUAAA